GUCCUGCUUGUUAGCAGUACAUAUAAUGAUUUUGGAAUAAAACAGAGAAGCAUAGCAUUGACUCUGUUAAGAUGGUAUUAAAAUGUGUGAAGAAUUCUAUAUUUUA
This is a small nuclear RNA of Mastomys coucha (southern multimammate mouse), 106 nucleotides long. The record is from RefSeq and is a predicted model, not a curated record. NCBI's taxonomy places the organism in Eukaryota, Metazoa, Chordata, Mammalia, Rodentia, Muridae.